Mytilus trossulus (common blue mussel) is the source of this 589-nucleotide long non-coding RNA. RefSeq lists it as uncharacterized. The transcript is spliced from 2 exons. NCBI's taxonomy places the organism in Eukaryota, Metazoa, Mollusca, Bivalvia, Mytilida, Mytilidae. The record is from RefSeq and is a predicted model, not a curated record.
CCAAUACAAACUGUAGAUCGUUCGAGUUCUUGGUUAGAGUUGUUAUUUCGAACGCACCUAUGUUUUCAUAAUAUGGUCGGAUAUGCGUUUGAAUGUACUGUUAUUCUAGUUCAGUUCAAAGCUCUCUUUACACAACAAAACUUGUCUCUCCACGUGUUUGAGUUUAACUGAAGAAUUUCACGAUGUUUUUAAUGUACUAUGAAAAUGAAAGCGGGGAACGUGUGUACACUUUAAAGAAAAUAGAUCCAGAAGGCAGACCUACAUUGUCCGCACAUCCAGCAAGAUUUUCACCCGAUGAUAAAUAUUCAAGACAUAGAAACACAAUCAAGAAGAGAUUUGGCAUUCACCCAAUACAGCAACCAAAGAUGGAAAUGUAAAAUAAUCAUAAAGAUCAUUUGGAAACAAUAAACAAUAUGCCAUUUUGAAAAUGGAGAAAAGACAAAAGAUUAUUCAUACUAUCAAACUACACUUACCAUAACCAUUUAUAGAUAGACAUGUUUGAUGAAUACUUCUGUAAAAACUUGUUGAUGUAAAUAAAUGUUCAUACAAUUGGUAAAAAAAUAAAUAAUUAAAAGAUAUCUGGACUUUC